RNAcentral lists this ribosomal RNA (1397 nucleotides) under metagenome. Its description in RNAcentral is "bacterial LSU rRNA". It matches the Rfam family "Bacterial large subunit ribosomal RNA", at positions 1550 to 2925 of the family's 2925-position model. The record is from RNAcentral.
GAUACUCUGAGACGUGAUACCGAGCCGCUUCAGGCGAAGUCAUUAAUCCCAUGCUGCCUAGAAAAGCCCAGUAGCGAGUUGACAUGGUGCCCGUACCCCAAACCAACACAGGUGGACAGGUAGAGCAUACCAAGGCGAGUGGGAUAACUAUGGUUAAGGAACUCGGCAAAUUUCCUCCGUAACUUCGGGAUAAGGAGGACCCCAGUAGCGUGACGAGACUUGCUCUCCGAGCGUGAAGGGGUGGCACAAAAUUGAGGGAAGCGACUGUUUACCAAAAACACAGCAGCGUGCUAAGCCGUAAGGCGCUGUAUACGCUGUGACUCCUGCCCGGUGCUGGAAGGUUACGGGGAUGGGUUAGUCCUUUGGGACGAAGCUCUGAACCUAAGCCCCAGUAAACGGCGGCCGUAACUAUAACGGUCCUAAGGUAGCGAAAUUCCUUGUCGGGUAAGUUCCGACCUGCACGAAUGGAGUAACGACUUCCCUACUGUCUCAACCAUAGACCCAGCGAAAUUGAAGUACGAGUAAAGAUGCUCGUUAGCUGCAGAAGGACGGAAAGACCCCGUGGACCUUUACUAUAACUUGAUGUUGUGUUUUGUCAUAUGUUGUGUAGGAUAGGUGGGAGACAAGGAAGCAUGGACGCUAGUCUGUGUGGAGUCAUCGUUGAAAUACCACCCCUGCAUAUGGUGAGGCUCUAACCUAGACCCGUUAUCCGGGUUGGGGACAGCGUCAGGCGGGUAGUUUAACUGGGGCGGUUGCCUCCUAAAGAGUAACGGAGGCGCCCAAAGGUUCCCUCAGCCUGGUUGGCAAUCAGGCGUCGAGUGCAAUGGCAAAAGGGAGCUUGACUGCGAGACCUACAAGUCGAGCAGGAGCGAAAGCUGGGCAUAGUGAUCCGGCGGUUGCGUGUGGAAGCGCCGUCGCUCAACGGAUAAAAGGUACCCCGGGGAUAACAGGCUAAUCUUGCCCAAGCGUCCAUAGCGACGGCAAGGUUUGGCGCCUCGAUGUCGGCUCAUCGCAUCCUGGGGCUGAAGCAGGUCCCAAGGGUUGGGCUGUUCGCCCAUUAAAGCGGUACGCGAGCUGGGUUCAGAACGUCGUGAGACAGUUCGGUCCCUAUCCUCUGUAGCCGUAGGUGAAUUGAGGAAAGCUGUCCCUAGUACGAGAGGACCGGGGACGGACGCAGCUCUCGUGUGCCAGUUGUCCUGCCAAGGGCAUGGCUGGUUAGCGACCUGCGGAAAGGAUAACCGCUGAAAGCAUCUAAGCGGGAAGCCUCUUCCAAGAUGAAUUCACCCACAGGGUUAACCUGGUAAGGCCCGUGGUAGACCACCACGUUGAUAGGCCGGAAGUGUAAGCGUGGCAACACGUUCAGCUGACCGGUACUAAUCGGCCGAGGGCUUGAAUUU